Small nucleolar RNA from Diospyros lotus (date-plum), 107 nucleotides. Lineage: Eukaryota; Viridiplantae; Streptophyta; Magnoliopsida; Ericales; Ebenaceae. The record is from RefSeq and is a predicted model, not a curated record.
AUCUGAUGGUGUGGACAGCUGGAACACAAUUUCUUAAACCGCUCCCAGUAUUCAUGCAAUGUUUCUCCACCUUGCUAUUGGAUGCCACAAAUCUCCUUCCUUAUGGC